UACGUAGGGGGCAAGCGUUGUCCGGAUUCAUUGGGCGUAAAGAGCGUGUAGGCGGCCAGGUAGGUCGGUUGUGAAAACUGGAGGCUCAACCUUCAGAGGUCGACCGAAACCAUCUGGCUAGAGUCCGGGAGAGGAGAGUGGAAUUCCUGGUGUAGCGGUGAAAUGCGCAGAUAUCAGGAAGAACACCCGUGGCGAAGGCGGCUCUCUGGAACGCAACUGACGCUGAGACGCGAAAGCGUGGGGAGCAAACGGG
RNAcentral lists this ribosomal RNA (253 nucleotides) under uncultured bacterium. RNAcentral's name for it is "partial 16S ribosomal RNA". It matches the Rfam family "Bacterial small subunit ribosomal RNA", at positions 524 to 776 of the family's 1533-position model. The record is from RNAcentral.